CAUAUCAGUCACAGACCUUUAAAAGAGUCAGAAAACUCUGAUCUCACCUCACCUCCUCUGGUUCCUACAAACCCAGCAGGUUCUGUUGAUCCAAGAUGUGGGUUCUGUUCAAAGUGGUUCUGCCGGUUCUGCUGCUGCUUGGCUCCAAUGCAGCGUCUGCAGCCGAGGAAUGUGACCUGCCAGACAAGGUGAAGCAAGAGGAGGUGCUCAAGGUGUUUGAGUCACGCUGGGUUCUGGUGGAGGGGUUCUCAGAUUACCCAGCAGGUGAAGACUUACUGAGAAAUGCCAGCAGCUCUGUGAUGGAGGCAGAUAAAAUCAGAAACAACACCAAAACCAUCCUGUUCAUAGAGAGAAACAUUGUGAACAGGAAGUGUCUGACCUUCCACGUCAACAUGUCGGCUUCUGACCCCGAGAAGUCCAACCACACCCUUGAACUGCUCCACCCCGGAACCAUGAACUCUGACGGCCAGGUGUCUCCGUAUGAUGAUAAGGGCAAAGCAGAUAUCUACCAGACCUGUCCCGACUGUGCGACCAUGAUCUACAGUGGAGUCUUUGAUGGAGUUGAUGGGAGGAUGCUGCUCAUCUACAGGCGUGAAGGGAAACACCUGGACACUAAGGAGCUGGAGGAGGCUCAGAGUGGCCACGCGAAGCUGGCAGAGUGUCUGAAGUUCAACGUUCCGUCACCGUUCAAGUACGACGGGAAGACAGAGUUCUGCAAAGAGAAGAAAGACUGACAAAGAGACGCCUGAGACAGAUGGAGGACGGACGAGUGAGGACGAUGUUUUCAUCAUGAGACAAAACCUCGAGUUUUUCACAGGUCCAGAAGAAGGCCAGGUGUAUCGCGGCGGAUCCCACCCACCUGUUUGUACCGCUUCCUUCUGGAAGAAACAUAAAAACAUGCACCACCAGACUGAGAGACUUCUUCCCCAGAGCGGUGAAAUCCAUCUCUGUUUUUGGAAAUAUUCCAAGUUGGAAACUUUCUAUGGAAAUUAAUGGGAACAUAUGGGAAUUAACUGGAAAUCUGGGGUCAUUUAUACAAACGCAGCAUUUUCUACUUUGAUUUAUUGUGAGUAAAACUUAAAUUGAUUCUUUCAUUGAACAAAAAACCAACAACAACAAACAAAAAAACUCCCACUCAAACUGUAAAAUUAAGAAUUUUCUUUUCUGUGUUUUUACAUAUAGCAUGUGUAGUAUUGAUCACAGAUCAGAUGUAUUGAUCAGUGUAAUCAGACUGAUGUAGAGUUUAAACCUGGUCGUUCUCACAUGAUGCUGCUGCAGGUUUUUUCAGCUGUUACUCUUUAAGUUGAACUCAUCUUUAUUCCUUUUUAUUUCCCUUUUAUUUAUUUUUGGCAGCUGUAGUCUGAAGGAUGGACUGGGUCUAAUGUGGUCUCAGGAGGAUCAGACUCAGAUUUUAAUGAUGAUGAAACCUUUUUGAGCUUCAGGUUAAAAUCUGAUUUAAUAAAAACCUUUGUUUCAUUGA
Lates calcarifer (barramundi perch) is the source of this 1480-nucleotide RNA transcript. It is a transcript of the gene named saxitoxin and tetrodotoxin-binding protein 1, with no coding region annotated. The transcript has 7 exons. The record is from RefSeq and is a predicted model, not a curated record. NCBI's taxonomy places the organism in Eukaryota, Metazoa, Chordata, Actinopteri, Centropomidae.